This 497-nucleotide ribosomal RNA is filed under the name uncultured bacterium. RNAcentral describes it as "partial 16S ribosomal RNA". It matches the Rfam family "Bacterial small subunit ribosomal RNA", at positions 28 to 507 of the family's 1533-position model. The record is from RNAcentral.
GAUGAACGCUGGCGGCGUUCCUAAUACAUGCAAGUCGAGCGAACGGACGAGAAGCUUGCUUCUCUGAUGUUAGCGGCGGACGGGUGAGUAACACGUGGAUAACCUACCUAUAAGACUGGGAUAACUUCGGGAAACCGGAGCUAAUACCGGAUAAUAUUUUGAACCGCAUGGUUCAAAAGUGAAAGACGGUCUUGCUGUCACUUAUAGAUGGAUCCGCGCUGCAUUAGCUAGUUGGUAAGGUAACGGCUUACCAAGGCAACGAUGCAUAGUCGACCUGAGAGGGUGAUCGGCCACACUGGAACUGAGACACGGUCCAGACUCCUACGGGAGGCAGCAGUAGGGAAUCUUCCGCAAUGGGCGAAAGCCUGACGGAGCAACGCCGCGUGAGUGAUGAAGGUCUUCGGAUCGUAAAACUCUGUUAUUAGGGAAGAACAUAUGUGUAAGUAACUGUGCACAUCUUGACGGUACCUAAUCAGAAAGCCACGGCUAACUACGUG